UGAUAGCGUAGAAGCGUGAGGUUGCUGCCUGAUAUAAGGCAGGUUUUCCGUGGAGCGAAUGUCAAGUUAUAUAAACUGGCGACAA
This 85-nucleotide non-coding RNA is filed under the name pig gut metagenome. RNAcentral describes it as "S10-Clostridia ribosomal protein leader". It matches the Rfam family "S10-Clostridia ribosomal protein leader". The record is from RNAcentral.